UAGUAGACAUCAUAAAGAGCAGUUUGUCUCCAAAUCUUUGCUUUGAUAAAACUGAAAAUGGUAGAAACUUCAAAUAAAAAAGUCAACAUCUUUAUUUUAUUAUUUUUUGUUUGGUUUCUCCGAGCCGAGUGUUCAAGGUCAACAAUGGAACAAAACUCAGGCUUUGAAUUUGACAAGAAUCGAAUCAUUUUUGCAAGUGGUAUCUUCGGAUUACUGCCAUUUCAAGCAGUCGGAUAUCUCCAAGAAAAAAAUCCAACUCCAAACUGGGCGUCACUCGAAAACGAGGAGGACUCAUCAGAGUGGCUUUUCCGGGUAACUUCCAGGGAAUAUAGGGAGAAACAAUUAGGACGAGCCAAUAUUAACAAAAGGCCAGACGCCCAUUCAUGGGGGUAGAAAAACAGACAUGCUUCAAGAAAUCGAUUCACUAGAAAUGUUUCUGACAAGGACAAAAGGGAUCUCAAAAUCAUUCGGGCAUUUGGAUACUUCUGAAAUUGAAUCAACCAAACAGCAUGGCCGAAUUACUGGAUUUCAUACCGGUUUCACCAAUGCUUUAUGUGAUAUGUCUUUCAUAGCUAUGUCGUCAUUGCAAUUUAUGUUAUGCUAUCAUUUCACAGCUGAAUAUGACUCUCUGCUGAAUUAAAAUGUUGACAUUAA
Symsagittifera roscoffensis is the source of this 654-nucleotide long non-coding RNA. RefSeq lists it as uncharacterized. NCBI's taxonomy places the organism in Eukaryota, Metazoa, Xenacoelomorpha, Acoela, Convolutidae. The transcript has 2 exons. The record is from RefSeq and is a predicted model, not a curated record.